UGUGACGAGUGAUAUGCCUAGGAUAUAAGCCU
Molecule: non-coding RNA, 32 nt
Filed under: Rattus norvegicus (Norway rat)
Lineage: Eukaryota; Metazoa; Chordata; Mammalia; Rodentia; Muridae
Source: RNAcentral